This 1290-nucleotide long non-coding RNA is filed under the name Macaca fascicularis (crab-eating macaque). RNAcentral describes it as "lncRNA (ENSMFAG00000063602.1)". The record is from RNAcentral. Lineage: Eukaryota; Metazoa; Chordata; Mammalia; Primates; Cercopithecidae.
UGGGGUAGAGCACCAAGUGAGCUCUUGGGAUCCCUAAUUCCAGGCCUUAGCUUUUAGAUGGCAUUUGAGGAAACCAUUGCCCUGAAGGGAGAGUCCCAUGCCUGAGAGCAGUCCCCAAAGGUUGACUGAAGAGUCCUUGGACAUUGAAUGAAAAUUGAUAGUAGCCAGGCAGUACUCACCACAGGCCUCAGACAGGGGUGGCCAUAAGGAGAGACUCCUCUGCUCGUGUAAAGAGGAGGGAAGAGUAGGAAGAACUCUGUCUUAUUCUUUGGUGCCAGCUCAGCCACAGAAUAGAACACCAAGUAGAUUCCUGUUUCUGAUGCCAGGCCCUGGCUCUAAGAUGGCAUCUCUGGACUCACCCAGGACUGAGAGGAACUUGCCACCUUGAAGGGAAGGACACAAGCCUGGCUGGCUUCACCACCUACUGAUUGUAGAGCCGUACAGCCUUGGGCAAGCAUAGUUGGUAGCCAGGCAGUGGAUACUGCAGACCUUGGGAGAGACCCAGUCUGAACCAGCAUAGUUCUAGGUUUUGAACAUUGCAGCCAUAUCUGCAUUAGGCUGGCCACAGGGGCACUGUGUCACCCCUCUGCCACCUCCAGCAGCUCAGCACAGAGUGAGGGACUCUAUUUGUUUGGGAUAAAGUAAGGGAAGAGAACAAGAGUCUCUGCCUGGUAAUCCAGAGAAUUUUUCCUGAUCUUACCAACACCACCAAGGUGGUAGGUACCUCUACAAGUCCGCAAAAGCCUCAGCACUACUGGGCUUGGGGUGCCCCCUAAUGCAGACAUGGCUGCAGUGACCAAAAACUUAGAUCACAAUACCCAAGUCCCUUCAAAUGUCUAGAAGGUCUUCCUGAGAAGGACAAGUACAAACAAGCCAAGACUGCAAAGACUACAAUAAAUACCUAACUCUUAAAUGCCCAGAUACUGAUGAACAUCCACAAGAUUUAAGACCAUCCAGGAAAACAUGACCUCACCAAAUGAAUUAAAUAAGGCACCAAUGACCAAUUAUGGAGAGACAUAUAUGUGACCUUUCAGAUAAAGAAUUCAAAAUAGCUAUUUUGAGGACACUCAGUGAGAUUCAAGAUAACACAAAGAAGAAAUUCAGAAUCCUAUCCGAUAAAUUUAACAAAGAGGUUGAAAUAACUCAAAAGAAUUGAGCAGAAAUUCUAGACUUGAAAAAUGCGAUUGACAUAUAAGGAAUGCAUCAGAGUCUCCUAGCAGCAGAAUUGAUCAAGCAGAAGAAAGAGGUAGUGAGCUUGAAGACAGGCUAUUUGAAAAUACACAGUCUAGG